CCAAUAGCGUAUAUUAAAGUUGUUGCAGUUAAAAAGCUCGUAGUUGAAUUUCGGGGCCAGUAGGUUGGUCGUGCCACUGGUAUGCACUGGUCUCACUGGUCCCUCCUUCUUGUAGAACCGUGAUGGCAUUAAUUUGUUGUUGCGGGGAAACAGGACUGUUACUUUGAAAAAAUUAGAGUGCUUAAAGCAGGCUCGCGCUUGAAUACAUUAGCAUGGAAUAACGAAAUAGGACGAUCGAACCUAUUUUGUUGGUUUCUAGGAUCGACGUAAUGAUUAAUAGGGAUAGUUGGGGGCAUUAGUAUUCAAUUGUCAGAGGUGAAAUUCUUGGAUUUAUUGAAGACUAACUACUGCGAAAGCAUUUGCCAAGGAUGUUUUCAUUAAUCAAGAACGAAAGUUAGGGGAUCGAAGACGAUCAGAUACCGUCGUAGUCUUAACCAUAAACUAUGCCGACUAGGGAUCGGAUGAAGUUAAUUUUUUAAUGACUCAUUCGGCGCCUUACG
RNAcentral lists this ribosomal RNA (500 nucleotides) under uncultured Glomeromycotina. RNAcentral's name for it is "partial small subunit ribosomal RNA". It matches the Rfam family "Eukaryotic small subunit ribosomal RNA", at positions 591 to 1092 of the family's 1831-position model. Lineage: Eukaryota; Fungi; Glomeromycota. The record is from RNAcentral.